RNAcentral lists this unclassified non-coding RNA (263 nucleotides) under plant metagenome. Its description in RNAcentral is "partial contains small subunit ribosomal RNA, internal transcribed spacer 1, and 5.8S ribosomal RNA". The record is from RNAcentral.
UUACUGUAGGUGAACCUGCGGAAGGAUCAUUAUUGUAUAACCGAGGUGCGAGGGCUGUCGCUGACCCGAAAGGUCGUGCACGCCCGAGUGCCCUCACACACAUCCAUCUCACCCCUAUGUGCACCACCGCGUGGGUCCCCCUUUGGCUUGUUCGGAGGGGGGCUUACGUUUUCACACAAACUUUGUAUGCAGUGUAGAAUGUAUUUUUUGUUUUUGCGAUCACGCAAUCAAUACAACUUUCAACAACGGAUCUCUUGGCUCUC